ACAAGUCUUGGUAAAACAAUAUUGCAAAAUCUAAAUACUACCAUAUCAAAAGUGUAAAACUGGACCUAGUAGUCCAACAAGCCUCUACUGACUAAAUCUAGAGAGUCACUGGGACAGGCCCCAGCUGACUCAAAAUGUCUUAAAUGAAUACAAAAACAUCUAUUAAUAAACUAAAAAUAUGAAUAGCUAAGUCCCCGAACUAUGAGGACUCACCAACUGUAAAGAUGUAGAUGAGAUGCUCGAAAAUCACUCGCGCUGCUAAGGCUGAGCACCUGAACCUACAUUAUGAGACAAUGUAGCACAUAAACGUAUAUGUGGAUCAGUAAUUCAAUUAUGUGAUAAGCAUAUGGGGGUAAAUACAAUAAGUGAGCAAUAUCAUCACAAUUUAUAAAAUCAUGCAUGUUAAAUGUAAAUAACUCAUUUUGGCCUGAGUAAAUCUGAAAUUUGAUGAUCAUAAAUCAUAAAUAAUAAAGCAUAUACUGUAAAUCUUAUGAGCCAUUACACUUAGUUCUGAAAUCUGUAUUCUGUUCUUAUUCUUAAAUCAUAUAGGUUAAGUGAAACCUAAAAACUUAUUCUGCAAGGGAAUUCUUUCAAAGCUUUUGGGAGGUUCUCUUAACCGACAUAAACCAUGUGAGUUACAUAGAGUCCAACAUUUUUUCCUCCUAAGGAAGAAACCUCACGUUGGGGAGAGGUGUCAUACUUUUGCCAGGGAGUAUAACUUAAUCCAUGUGAUCGAUCACAAGCUAAAUCUAUCAUCCAUAUAAAAUCAGAGUAAUCUGAUAAAUCUGUACCUACACUGGCUACGUAGUUCUGUGGAAGAUAGGGCACGCUAAUCCCACACUUCCCGCUCGGUGCUAAAUACUACUCCCUCUUAAAUUUGUAUACUCAAACCAUUGGAAAUCCACUUUUUAAAACUAGCAUAAGGAUUUAUAUGAAAAACCAGUUAUACAUUUAUCUGAGUAAAUCUGUAAAUAAAGUUCUUCUAAGUUUUGUAAACUGUAAUAAACUGCAGUGGAUUCCAAAGUUAAACCAAUUAUCAAAAGGUCAAAGCUUUAUAAAAAAUCUGUAAAUAAUCUACUCAUAGGAUGCUUAAAGCACAUCUUUCUUGAAGUAAUAAUAUUCAAUCUUGGGAUAAAUAACUCAUGCAUCAAUCGCAUGUUAAAUCAUCAUAAUACUCAUGCUUGAUAUUGUAAAUAUUGAUAAAUCAACUUAAAAUCUAGAAAUUUCAGAAAUAUGCUUGAAAAUAUGAACAUAUUCAUGGAAUUCAACUUCUGAAUCAUUGGAAAUAUCAUAAGCUUGUAAAUAACAAUAAUGGGUGUAAACCCUAACUUGAAUUUCAUGGAAAAUCAUAUAAAAUUCAGUAAAUUUGAAUUUAAAAUAAGUUUUGGGCACAAGGACGAAAGGAUUGUCCUUGUUCAUAACCCCACAUACCUUAAUUGGUGAUCUUUGAUGAAAAACUUGAAUCUUGGAUUCCUAUUGAUGCUUUGGAGAUGAAUUCUUAGAGCCCGUGUGUUGGGAAUCCUAAAUCUUGAAUUUCUUUGGAGAAUUAAUGGAGGAGUUUAGAUUUCUUGGGGAAAAAAUUUGAUGAGCUAGGGUUUUGCUUGAGAGAGAUUUGAUGAAAAUUGGAUGUAAAGUGAUUUGAAGGGGUUUAAUUUAUUGUUUAAGAUGGAUUAAGGGUUGGGAGAGUAGCCAAAGUACCCUUUUUAAACUCCUAAAUGGACUGGGAAAAUGUAACAUUUUCUGAACUAGGUGGCCACCGUGACGCGACGCUAUCGCGGUGGCUCACUAGAAAAUGGAUGAGCGGGAACUGGGCUCCCUCCGUGACGCGCCACAACCGCGGAGCCCUUUAGUUUUUCAUUUUUACCACUGACGCAACACGCCAGUAUCGCGAAGGGUCACUAGAAAAUGCCAAAUGUGAAAUGGGAUAUCACCGUGAUGUGGUAGGAUCGCAAAGUCUCACUGGAAUUGGAAAAUUGUGAUUUUUCACUCCUCCGCGAUGCGCUAUAGGCCCAAAUCACGGUGUUUUACAACUGGAACUUAAAAUAGCCAUAACUUCUUACUCGGUUAUCAGAUUUAGGCGAAUCUUAUAUCAUUAGAAAGCUUAUUCAAUUUUCCAUACAGUGGAAGGUCUAAAUCUAGAAAAUUCCAUAUGGAAUAAUUUUUAUUCAUUUUUGGAAGUGAUCCCUUAACAUUCUAUGAAUGAAUUUAAGCUGGGAAAAUCAUGGGGUAUUACAAUAUCUCCCCCUUGGAAACAUUCGUCCUCAAAUUUUACUAGUUAGACUAAGAAUACUGAGGAAACUGAGGCUAUAAACUAUCAUGCACAACUAAAUAAACUGAACAACUGAAUCUAAAUUAUUCUAAGCUUCUGAGUAAUUCUAUGAGUGCAUGAACUUACAUGAGGACAACCAUAUAGCUAAAUAUAUGAGUAGAAAAGGACUGUAUCAAGGAAGAGUAUUACCUUUGGCUAAAUCUGAGUUUUCGGAGAAGAGGUGAGGGUACUUGGCUCAUAUUUCUGCUUCUGCUUCCCAAGUGGCACCCUCAACAGACUGAUUCUUCCAAAGAACUUUGACCAACGAAACUUCUUUGUUCCUUAGUCUACGGAUCUAAUGAUCUAAAAUCUCAACUGGAAUCUCUUCGUAAUAAAGGUUGUUCUAAAUAUCUGAGCUUUCUGAAGGAGCUACAACAGUGGAGUCACCGAUGCACUUCUUAAGCAUAGAGACAUGGAAUACAGGAUGAACGCCUGACAAGUCUGCAGGCUACUCAAGCUCAUAAGCUACUUUCCCAACACGACUCAGAAUUCUGAAAGGGCCAAUGUACCAGGGACUAAGUUUCCCCUUCUUGACAAAUCUUUUCACCCCUUUCAUGGGUGAAAUAUUCAGAUAGACUGAAUCACCAACCUCAAACUCGAGGUCCCUUCUUCUCACAUCUNNNNNNNNNNNNNNNNNNNNNNNNNNNNNNNNNNNNNNNNNNNNNNNNNNNNNNNNNNNNNNNNNNNNNNNNNNNNNNNNUAGACCCAAUCAAAGCAUCCUCACCCACCUCAAACCAAGCUAUGGGGGAUCUAUAUCUCCUCGUAUAAAGAGCCACAAACAGGGCCAUCUGAAUGCUAGAAUGAUAACUGUUAUUAUAAGCGAACUUAAUCAAUGGAAAAUGCACAUCCCAACUACCUUUGAAAUCAAGAACGUAUACCUUCAAUAUUUAUUCUAGAGUUUGGAUGGUGGUCCUCUCUGCUUGACCAUCUGUCUGAGGGUAGAAAGCUGAACUAAGGUGGACUUGGGUGCCAAGACCUUUCUGAAAGGAUCUCCAAAACUGGGAAGUACACUGAGUACCCCUAUGUGAGAUGAUAGAUAAGUAAACUCCAUACAAUAUGACUAUAUAACUUAGCAUAAUCCUCAGCUGUAUAGGACGUAUGAACUGGCAAGAAAUAUGCUGACAUAGUCAAUCUGUCUACAAUAACCCAAACUAAAUCAUGAAGACGACGCGAAUAGGGUAAACCAAUUACAAAAUCCAUAUUUAUCUCUACCCAGUUCGUAGUGGGGAUACCAAACUCUUACAACAUACCACCAGGUCUUUGGUGCUCUACCUUAACCUAUUGAUAAAUUGCAGAUUUAGUUACAAACUUCGCUAUAUCUCUCUUCAUACCAUUCCACCAAUAGAUUUCCCACAAGUCACAGUACAUCUUGGUAGCACCUGGAUGAAUAGAAUUAUGCGCCCCAUGGGUUUCCACCAUAAUCCGCUGUCUCAACUCAUCAACACAUGGCACACACAAUCUACUUUGGUAUCUUAACAUACCAUCUCCCUCUUGGGAGAAAACCUCUACCUUUUGGUCUUUCACUAACUCUUUUAAUUUGACCAAACUAGAAUCCAUAUCUUGCUUCUCCUUCACUUCUGAAACUAGGGAAGAUUCGAAACUACUCUGAACCCAAAUAUUCCCUUUAGUUGAAUCAACCAACCUAACACCCAAUCUAGCCAAACGAUGAACUUCUCAAGCUAACUCUUUCUUAUGAUUAUCCACAUGAGAAACACUGCCCAUAGACAAUCUACUAAGGGUUUCUGCUACUAUAUUGGCCUUGCCCGGAUGAUACAACACGCUCAUGUCAUAAUCCUUUAAUAAUUCCAACCAUCUCCUCUGAUGAAGAUUCAAAUCCCUCUAGGUAAACAUGUACUGCAAACUUUUGUGGUCUGUGAACACAUCAACAUGUACCGUAUAUAGAUAGUGUCUCCAGAUUUUUAACGUAAACACCACAGCAGCUAAUUCAAGAUCAUGGGUUGGAUAAUUCUUUUCAUGAGGCUUAAGCUAUGUAGAGGCAUAGGCUAUGACCUUACCUCUCUGCAUCAACACACAACCCAAACCAACUUUGGAGGCAUCAUAAGACACCAUAAACCAUUCGUACCAUCAGGUAGCGCAAAACCGGGGCUGAAGUGAGUCAAGUCUUCAACUCUUGAAAACUCUUCUUGCUGGAAUCUGACCACUGGAACUUACUUUCUUUUGGGUUAAUAUAGACAUAGGGGAUGCAAUAGUUGAAAACCCCUCAAUAAAAUAUCUGUAAUAACUAGCUAGACCCAAGAAACUCCUAAUAUCUGAUGGAAAGAUAGGUCUAGGCCAAUUUCUUAUGUCUUCUGUCUUUUGGGAAUCAACUCUAAUACCCUCACUAGAAAUAAUAUGGCCAAGUAAAGCUACUGACUUUAGCCAAAAUUCACACUUGCUAAAUUUGGGGAACAACUGGUGAUCUUUAAGAGUUUGCAACACAAUUCUAAGAUGGUCUGCAUGAUCAUCCUUACUACAAGAGUAGACAAGGAUAUCAUCUAUAAAGAUUAUGAUAAACAUGUCCAAAUACUACUUGAACACUCUGUUGAUCAAGUCCAUGAAGACCGCGGGGGCAUUAGUUUGCCCGAAGGACAUGACUAGAAACUCAAACUGACCAUAACGGGUUCUGAAAAUUGUCUUUGGAAUAUCACAUUCUCUUACUUUAAGUUGAUGAUAGUCGGAUCUAAAGUCUAUCUUUGAGAAUAACUUGCACCUUGAAGUUGAUCAAAUAAGUCAUCAAUUCAAGGAAGAGAGUAUUUGUUUUUGACUGUGACUUUAUUCAGCUGAUGAUAGUCAAUGCACAUUUGCAAAGAACCAUCUUUCUUUCGCACGAAUAGGACGGGAGCGCCCCAUGUAGAAAUCUCAGGCCUUGUGAAACCUUUAUCUAAAAGAUCUUUGAGUUGCUCUUUCAACUCCUUAAGCUUUGCGGUAGCCAUAUGAUAUGCAGGGAUAGAAAUAGGCUGAGUAUCUGGGAGAAGGUCAAUACCAAAUUCUAUUUCCCUAUCGGGAGGUACCCCUAGGAGAUCUUCUAGGAAAACUUCAGAAAACUCAUUGACCACUCGAACGGGCUAAAGUGAUAGAGUCUCAGACUUUGUGUCCUUAACUCAAACUAGGUGGUAAAUGCAACCUUUAGAUAUCAACUUUCUGGCUUUGAGAUAAGAUAUGAAAUAACUCUUGGGAGACACUGAAUUACCUGACCACUCAAAGACUGCGCUAUUUGGGAACUGAAACUUCACUACACAGGUGCGACAAUAUAUAAAGGCAUAACAGGAGUGAAGCCAAUCCAUACCAAGGAUAAGAUCAAAAUCAACCAUAACUAACUCUAUUAAGUCUGCUAACAUAACUUUAUGAAGGAAAGUGAUAGGACACUUUUUAUAGAACAUAACUUUAUGAAGGAAAGUAAUAGGACAUUUUUUAUAGACCUGCUUGGCAACAAUUAACUCACCUACUGGGGUAGAAACCAAGAAAAGCUCAAGUAUCUUUUCAGAACUUAUCUAAAAAUUUAUUGCAACUAAUGGGUUCACAUAAGAGAAACUUGACCCAGGGUCCAACAACACAUAAACAUCAAGAUGAAAGACACGAUGCAUACCAGUAACAACAUCUGGUGAAUCUUCCUGCUCCUGACGGGAUGGUAAGGCAUAAAAUCAAUUCUGGCACUGACCACCACCGAUACUGGAUGAUGCGCCCUGAGGAGGAGAUGGGUGACCUAAAGGAGCUGGUGCACUAGUAGCCUGAGUCUGAGGAUGAACAUCCUUAUUUCCCUAUCUAGUAUCUGGGCACUCUUUAAUUCCAUGACCUGGUUGGCCACAACCAUAGCAACCUUUCCAUCCAACUAAACACUCACCGGGAUGAUUCUUACCAUACCUAGCACACUGAGUAUAGCUAGGCCUACCGCUCAUAUUAUUCUGAGAUCUGGACAUAGAAGACUUACCCCAUUAUUCCUGCCUGUUUCUGAGUGCAGGAGCACUGGCUGAAGAAGGUGCAUACAUAGAUGAAUGAUUCUGAAACCAUGAAUGAUUUCCUCCUCCUGACCUAUUUUGACCAUAAUCAAAUUGCCCUGUUCUAGCCUUCUUAUGCACUCUAUCUAUUUUCUUCAACUUUUCUUCCUCAAUCUAUUGAGCAUGUAUCUUCAAUAUAGAAAAAUCCAUGUCUCCAAUAAGCAUAGCAGCCCUAUACUCCUUAACUACUAACCUAGAUACACCGGUCACAAACUUACUCAUGCUUGACCUAGGGUCAGCCAUCUGAUCAGGGGCAUACUUAGACAACUGGUUGAACUUGAGGCAAUACUCUUUCACUAAUUAAGCCUUGCCUCAGGUUCAUGAACUCUUCUAUCUUAGCUUUUCUCAUCUCACGUGGGAAUAACUUGUCUAAGAACGCAUCCUAAAAAAUCUUCCAAGUCAUGGGAGCUCUAUUGUCCCCUCUACUUUUCUUUCGUAUCACUACCUAAUCAUAAGCAACAUCCUUCAGCCUAUAGGAUGCCAAUCCUACACUCUCCUCUUCAAAAAUAUGCAUAAUUUAGGUGAUUUUCUUCACCUUAUCUAGAUACAACUGUGGGUCCUCACCGGCCUUUGACCCAAAAAAUUCUGGCGGGUUCAUUCUCAUAAAUCUCAAAUUUUGACUGUGAUUAAGUCCCCAUUUUGCUAAAGUGGGGCUGCAGCCUGACGGUGUCCCUGAACACUAGCUUCACAGCUUGGCCUAAUGCCUGAAAGGCAGCUCGAAACUCUGCAUGUGACACAUUCUCAUUCAAAGGAUCUGCGAGCUAAGGUGGCUGGUUAUUAUUUAUGCCUACAUUAACUCAACGAGGAGACAUUUUCUGUCAUAUUAAAGCACCAGUUAGAAGCAGAUAGAGACACUGAACACAUGAUAAAUCAUGAAAGAAAAGAUGAUUUCCUAAAAUGCUCCAUAGCCUCUUGCUCAAAGAUGUGGCACACUUCACACUGAUGAUCAAGACUCUAUGUAAUGCGGCUUGUCUGAAUCCCUAGGUCUCUCUAAACCUUAGGCUCUGAUACCAAGUUUGUAAUACCCCAAAAUCUGAUUCUCGGGAUGCCACACGGUGCUUCAAACUACAAGUAGUCCUGAGCUAACCCUGACUAAUUACUACUAAAUCUGAAUCUCAAAAUAGGAGGAUAUGAAUAUGAAAUCAUAAUAAAUGCAAAAAUCUUAUCUGAAACAUACUACUCUCACAAGUCUUGGUAAAAUAAUACUGCAAAAUCUAAAUACUACUAUAUCAAAAGUCUAAAAUUGGAUCUAGUAGUCCGACAAUCCUAUACUAACUAAAUCUAGAGAGUAGCUGGGAUAGGCCUCAACUGACUUAAACUGUCUGAAAUGAAUAUAAAAACAUCUAUUAAUAAACUGAAAAUAUGAAUAGCUAAGUCCCCGAACUAUAAGGACUCACCAAUUGCAGAGAUGUAGAUGAAAUGCUCAGAAAUCACUCACACUGCUGAGGCUGAGCACCUAAACCUACAUUAUGAGAUAAUGUAGCACAUAUACGUAUAUGUGGAUCAGUACGCUACAUAGACAUAUAUGUGGAUCAGUACUUUGAUAAUGUACUGAGCGUAUGGGGGUGAAUGCAAUAAGUGAGCAAUAUCAUCACAAUUUACAAAAUCAUGCAUGCUAAAUAUAAAUGACUCACAUAGGCUUGAGUAAAUCUAAAAUCCGGAUAGCGUAAAUCAUAGAUAAUAAAGCAUAUACGGUAAAUCUUUUGAGCCAUUACACUUAGUUCUGAAAUUUGUAUUCUGUUCUUAUUCUUAAAUCAUAUAGGCUAAGUGAAACCUAAAAACUUAUUCUGUGAGGGAAUUACUUCAAAGCUUUAGGGAAGUUCUCUUAACUAACAUAAACCAUGUGAGCUACAUCAAGUACAAUGUCUUGUCCUCCAAAGAAAGAAACCUCACAUUGGGGAGAGGUGUCGUACUCUUUUCAGGGAAUAUAACCUAAUCCAUGUGAUCGAUCACAAGCUAAAUCUGUCAUCCAUAUAAAAAUGGGAAUAAUCUGAUAAUCUUUACCUAUGUUGGCUACGUAGUUCUGUGGAAGAUAGGGCAAGUUAAUCCCACACUUCCCGCUCAGUGCUAAAUACUACUCCCUCUUAAAUCUGUACGCUCAAACCAUUGGAAAUCCACUUUUUAAAACUAGCUUAAGGAUUUAUAUGAAAAACUAGUUAUGCAUUUAUCUGAGUAAAUCUGUAAAUAAAGUUGUUCUGAGUAUUGUAAACUGUAAUAAACUGUAGUGGAUUCCAAAGCUAAACCAAUGAUCGAAAGAUCAAAGCUUUAUAGAAAAAAUUUGUAAAUAAUCUGCUCAUAGGAUGCUUAAAACAUCAUCUUUCUUGAACUAAUAACAUUCAAUAUUGGUAUGUUAAAUCAUCAUAAUAAUCAUUCUUGAUAAUGUAAAUAUUGAUAAAUCAACUCAAAAUCUGGAAAUUUCAGAAAAAUGCAUGAAAAUAUGAACAUAAUUAUGGAAUUCAACUUCUGAAUCAUUGAAAAUAUCAUAAUCUUAUAAAUAACAAUAAUGGGUGUAAACCCUAACUUGAAUUUCAUGGGAAAUCAUAUAAAAUUCAGUAAAUUUGAACUUAUAUUAAGUUUUGGGCACAAGGACGAAAGGAUUGUCCUUAUUCAUAACCCCACAUACCUUAAUUGGUGAUCUUUGAUGAAAAACUUGAAUCUUGGAUUCCUAUUGAUGCUUUGGAGAUGAAUUCUUAAAGGGCUUGUGUUGGGAAUCCUAAAUCUUGAAUUUUUAUGGAGAAUUAAUCGAGGAAUUAGGAUUUCUUGGGGAGAAAGUUUGAUAAGCUAAGGUUUUGCUAAAGAGAGAUUUGAUGCAAAGUGGAUGUAAAGUAUUUUGAAGGGGUUUAAUUCAUUGAUUUAAGACGGAUUAGGGACUGGGAGGAUGACCAAAGUACCUUAUUUAAACUCCUAAACGGACUGGAAAACGUAAUAUUUUUUGAACUAGUUCAUCGUGGUGGCUCACUGAAAAAUGGAGUGGGAACUAGGCGCCCUCCACAACGCGCCACAAUCGUGGAGCCCUUUAAUUUGUCAUUUUGACCACUGGCGCGACGCGCCAAUAUCGCGAAGGGUCACUGGAAAAUGCCAAAUGUGAAAUGGGACAUCACCGCGAUACGGUAGGAUCACGAAGUCUCACUGGAAUUAGAAAAUUGUGAAUUUUUACUCCUCCGUGACGUGUUAUGGGCCCAAAUCACGGUGUUUUAUGACAAACUUAAAAUGGCAUUAACUUCUUACUCGGUUAUCGGAUUUAGACGAAUCUUAUAUCAUUGAAAAGCUUAUUCAAUUUCCCAAACAAUGGAUGGUCUAAAUCUGAAAAAUUCUACAUGAAAUAAUUAUUGUUCAUUUUCGAAAGCUAUCCCUUAAUUGUAAGAACGAAUUUAAGCUAGGAAAAUCACAAGGUAUUACAGAACCAAAGAUACCUACGACAGUCAUUUUCACUUUUAAGCUCAAAAAACAUUACCCCUUCUACUUUUACUUUUCAAACCUAAGGUUGUGUGAAUUCAUGAAGCAAAACAAUGUGGCACAGAGGAAUCAGGCUAUGGUAUUACAUUAGUAAUAGAAAACCAUGCAUAUAUACAAAUCAUAUUACCCAUAUAAACAAGAAGUUAGAAACACAACCCAUGCUCUCUCACAUCAAAGAAGUCCCACUCACUCAGAUUAAGUAUGCAAGUUAAUAUAGGGACGGUUACGAUACACUCAUACUCAAAAAGAAGUUCCACAAUGUGCACAGAAUACCAUUGGCUUGAACUUAUUUUCUUUACCUUGGUUUUCAAACAGUCGGGUUAGGAUCACUUUAGGAUUUUAUUCUACUUGGAAUGUAGGCUUAGGGGUUGGCAUGGUAUAUAUAGGAAUUUAGUAACUAAGACUUUUUGGCACUACACUUAUGUUAGGGAUCCACUUAUCAGCCACUUUUCUUUUAGUCAACUCUAAUUUCUCCCUCUUUAUUCUUUUACACUUUAUUCAGGUUGGGUGUGGUUUUCUUUUUAUUCUUGUGUUUUCUUUUUUCAAUUUUUCUUUUUCUCACACCCAACCCUACUUUCUUUUACCAUAUUUAUCCUUCUUCAUACCCACUUUACAUUACAUACCCUUAUGAUAUCCACCCUCAACUUAGGUAAUUUUCCUGAGUUGAGGUACACAAUGUCCAAGGAGGAGCAGGGCCAAAACAUGCUCAUUUUAACAAAAAUGGGGAGGUGAAAGGUGUAACAAGAAAAUAGUCUAUCAAGCUCAAAAUAGGGAUCAAGGAUACUUAUUCAUAUUUGGAAGUUCGUUUAGGAUAAAAGUGGACUUAUCUCAAGAAUGGCCUAUGAUACUUUCCUAACCGACUAUCCUAUAACCUAGGCAAGACUAACUGGGCAAGUUCUGGAUUCAACACACAAAGAGAACAAAGUAGUAGCUCACACACACAUAGUACAGGUUGCAGCAUAAGCUACUACCUAUCCAAUUCAUGCAAUUAUUAGCUAUGAUUAUUAUGUUUCUAAUCCUAAUGCCAUAAUGAAAUUCACAAUGGUCACAUAUUUAUACAUAUCACACAGUUCAAAAAUAAAUUUUUUAGAAGGGUAUCAAUUUUCAUAAAAACAUUUAAGAAUAAUCAAAACCCAUCAACUGCCUUAGAUAUUUAUUUUUAUCCUAUUUAAACAUAAACAACACAAUACAAAACUAAACACAAUACGACCUAAAUAUAUCGACUCUACUAGGAACAAACCUUGGGGAAAAAUACAUGGCAACAAAAACCCCAAAAGGACAUCUAGACCCAUAAGUAGCCCACCCUCAACUUGUAAUCAUGUAUUACCCCUAAUUAAUUAUACCGUUACAAAACAAAAGAGUUAGAAACAUACCUGCGGCACCAUAGAUGUGAAGAUUUGAUGUCAAUCAGACUAACCUGAAUGAAUGCAAAAAAAAAAAAUACCUUGGGUUGCCUACCAAGCAGCACUUGAUUUAAUGUCGUGGUAUGGCGUGGCUAUGUUGGUCACUUCAGACUUCACCAAAAAGCUCAUGGGUUGCCUCCCAUACAGCCCUUAAUUUAACAUUGCGGCACGAUGCAUGUACCUUGAUUACUCAAACUUUAUCAAGGUAUCUUGAGAAGUGAUCUCUAAUUUUUCUUUCCACUUUGAACUUAUGAAUUGCACCUCUAAGUUGUUAUCUAAUUUUCUACUAUGCUCAAGGGCUGGUAGUAUGAAAAUAAAGGAACCAAGUAAUAGAUGUGGCAUAUUGCAACUCUUGACCCUUAAGUGAGGAAUGUAAUUUUUCAAAUUUGGCACAACAAAUUCAAGAAUAUAAACAUAUUCUUCCUCUUUUUCACACUAUUCUAUAGGCUCAAAUGGCAUGAUUAAUAUCUUACUAUCCAAACAUAAUGUGGUUAAAUUCUUAGAAUGGGGUCCCAUACAUCCCAACUUAUGAAUUGCAUUCUUAUUUAAAUCCCAACAUAACUCUAGUAUGCUUUUCUAAAUGGUGACUUUAUCCACAAAAGUCUGACCAAGUGUUAACUUCUCUAAUUUUAGCUCCUAAAUUUGGCUUAUAAGAAGUUUUUCUGCCUUAUAUAACUCAUAACUAAAUUGUUGGGCGUUACACACAUUAACCUUUCCAUUCAAUUCUACUUGUAAGUUGUGAAUAUCAAAGCCAAACCUGCUAAUUCCUUAACUAAACUCUACUUUUUCUUUUUCUAGGAGCGUCAAUGUUCCUAGCAUGCUCUCAUUAUGCUAUAACAAUAUAUCAAUCAUGCUCCUACAGUAAUACAUUAUAUCAAAAGGACAAGAACCAAUAAAUAAGAAGUCAUAAUCACUCCACCCUUCUUCUUGUAAAUAUGUUAUAUCCAGAAGAGUAGAAAAAUAUAAAAACACUCAAAACUUUCAACAACUUUAAUAAAUAAUUCUGUAUUCGUAUUCUCCGACAAUGACACCAAAAUUUGAUCCCACAGGGAAUAGGAUGAACUUGUAUCUCAAAUUUGUUGAAGUAUCUGAAAGUGCGGGAAAGUAAAUGGGGGUUUGCAAUAAUUAGUAAGAGUAACCAAUUCAGAAUGCUUUUGGUUGUAAAUAAUAUAAGGAUAACAUUAGUACUAUGUUCCUUUAGCUUCCUAACUCUGUAAGUUUCUCAUGCUCAAUCCAACUAUCUCACUGUCACACGUGCCGAAUCUGACAAGCUAGGUAUUACAAACUAUCUUGUGGACUCGUAGGUAAAUCUCACCCUUUACCUUGUGAGUCUCAAGGUGUUGCUUUACUAUCCCUUGUCUUUGAUUCCAAUUUAAGUUUCACCUUGUGGGUCUCAAGUUAUUAGACGAGGAUUGAUAGCCUCGAAUCAAUGUCGCAAUCUUCUUUUCCAAAUAUUGAUCUUUUUUGUGAAGACAAUCUCAAAUACAAGUGAGUUCUUAGAGUUGGCCACCACUAAUAAAGAAAUUAAUUUGAAGGAAUCAUAAUACACGUGUAAAUGUUUAUCUAGAUGAAUCUCACACUUUUACUACUUCGUUAAUCUGCUACGGUACCCACAACCUUUGUUAAGGAAGUUACCACUCAUGGUUAUGAAACAAUCCAUGAAAUUCAAUAAAGAAGACAUAGAAUUCACUGCAUAAUAAUGAAAGAGUAAAAUCCAAAGUCUCAAAUUGAAUAAUAAACCAAAAACCAAGAAUAAGAGUACAAAGUGAGUAAAAAUAUAUCAAAGUGUAUAACAUAAUACAAGAAUAAACCAAGGGUAUUUAUACUUUCUCAAAAUAAUAAGGGAAACCUAAUUAAAACAAAAUAAAAAAAUUCAGCUGACAGUGGUCACAUUACUGGCAAUGAGUCGUUAGAUGUGACAAUGACCCAUUGCCUGCUAUUGUAGCUCUCUUUUGUCUUCAGUUAUCAUGACUCGUUGUGCGACGUAACGUGUUGUUGCUGGGAGUCGUUGCUGGGAUUCGUUAUGACUCCAGUGGAAUUUCACCUUUUAGUACUUUUGUUCCAUGCUUAGAAUGAUUUCUCACUACAAGUCAUUGUCUAUCAUCAUGACUCGUAGUCUUUAUCCAUGUUUACUGAAGUCUCAACUUGUCAACUCAUAAGACUUUUCCUUAUAUGCUCAGCAUGACUCACUCCAUGACUCUUUGUCACUCCUAAUGAGUCAUGGUCAGUCUUCUACUUUACUCCUAGAAUCAAUAAUCUUUACUAGUAACCUCAUUAAUUGGGUCACGGGUCGUUAGGUGACCAAACGACUCGUUAUCCAAUCCACACUUAGCUUUAUCUAGAGCUUUUUUAUCUUUUUCUAAUCAAUGCCACUUCCAACCUAAUUUAACCGCAACAUACUCAAAACACACAUUAUAUCCAAUAAAAAGGCCUAAGUAUUUGCAUAUUUUCACUAUUUUAAGCAUUGAAAGUUCCAUGAAACCAUGGCACAUCACCUUCCAGACUUUGAAAUCAUAGGAUUUGAUGAAGGUUUUCAUCCUUAUUUUUCAAUGAGAAAAAUAUUUUUUAUUAAAAUAAAGAGGUCUGGUGUGGGAGGUUCCUUUUAAGAAUAGUGCAACAGCAAGUGUUUGAGCUAAGAUCUUUCCUCACUUUGUUUUUAAGUAAAAAAAUAUGAGUCCUUGAUCUAAUACCAGUUAAAAGUAGUAAGAGGGGGCGAAUUACUCUUUUUUGAAUCGACAGUUAACACACUUAGACAGAUAGUCGACUAUUUAGAUGGUAUAGUAAAGUUAAGAAAAUAAAGUGUUGAUAAAAAAUGACACCAGAUAUUUUAUACUAUUUGGAACCUUUUAUAGGUCUUACUCUAGUCUCCAUGGGCUGCAAGAGAUUCUACUAGUUCUUUUUUAACCAAAUCAAGGGAUAAGGAUUAAGUUAAGAUUUUUGGCUAUGACUCUGUAAUACCCCAUAUUUUUUUCUAGCUUAAAAUUGUCUCAAGAAUGUUAGAAAUUUACUUUGAAAGAUGAAUCUAUUUUUUUACAUGUAGAAUUUUUAUGAUUUUCACUUUUUAUCAUAUGGGAAAUUGAAUAAGCUAUCCAACGAUACCAAUUUCGUCCAAGUCCGAUAUCGGAGUAAAAAGUUAUGGACAUUUUACCCAGACCUUCCAGAAUCGCCCAGGUGUGAUGGCCAGGUUGACGGACCAUCGACCUAGCGACGGACCGUCACCUUGACCGUCGCAGCCAAGACAGUGAGGCAACCUUCUGGAUAAGGUGCGACGGACAGGUUGAUGGACCAUCGAAAUUGCGAUGGACCAUCGCCUAAGACAUCGCUACUUAGGCAGUGAGUCCCUAUCCUGGUCCACCUACGAUGGUCGAAAUGAUGGACCGUCACAUGAGCCAUCGCAGGUUCCAUUCAGUUAUUUUAAGUCAUUUUAAAGGGGCUUUUUGGCCUUUUAUCACCCGUUUAUAUACCUAGUAAUAUUCGACCAAGGCUCCUAAAUUCAUUAUUCUUCCACAACAUUAAAAUUAGGAUUUUCUCCCUAAGAGCAAUCCUUAUGCAACAAAAUCCAAUCUUCUUCAAUAACUAAGAGAUUCAAAUUCUUCAAGUUCAAGAACUUCAAGAAACUCACUACCAGCUAUGUAUAGUGUUCAUUCAUGGACUCCUUUCAUCCAUGAAGCCCAAGAAUCUCUUUUCAAAGUUCAAGUGUAUGGAUUUCUUUAUGAAUUUUAUGUGGGGUUUGCUUUUGUUCAUGUUAAUAAUGACUAAUUAAAUUCUAAUCCAUGUUGGGUGAUCAAUUUUAUGUGGAAUUGAUUAGUAUAGGUGUAGAUUCAUGUGAACCUAUGAUUAAACCCUUGAAUGAUGAAAUUAGAGUUGAAUCAUGAUAUUUAAUUGUUAUAUAAUGUUGUCUACAUCUACUAUGCUUACCAUGUAUUUGAUUAAAUGUUUAUGUGAAGGAAAAGUGCCCAGCUAGUAUGAUAUUAUGUAAUCCUCAUGUAUGUACAAGUUUAUGUAUAUCACAUGUUUGAUGAAAUGCCUCAAUAAAUGAAUUAUGGAAUGUGAUGUUGGUCAUGUAUUCAAGAAAGUCGUGCUUUGUCAGUUUCUUUCCAUCGAGUCCUAGGGGUACUUAUGCCCAACAAUUUAGAUGUAUGCCUAGAGUCUAUGUCAUGUUCUCAAGAUACUCUCAGUCAAGCCAUGUUUAGUAGAAUUCAGUCAGUCUCAUGACUUAGGAAAACUCAGUAACUUCAAUAAAUCUCAGUUAGUUAUCAGACCUCAGUAAUAUUCCAUCAGUCAACGGAACUCAGUUAACUCAGUCCAGUCAGUUCAGUUAAUCAUGUUUAGUAACUAUUCAGAUGGGAGUAGAAAUUAGCACCGAGAGAACUCAAGGAUGGGAACUCACCUGUUAUAUGAGGGUGUGAUUCUUAGAAGCAAUCCUUGCAUUUCAGAACUACGUAGCCAGCGUAGGUUGAGACAUCAUAGCCAGUUAUAUAAGGAUAGAUGAGGUGGAUUAACCUGUUAUAUGAGGGUUCCUACCAUUUUCACUAAAGCCACCUGUUAUAUGAGGGUCACUCAUAGAUUGUCCUUACCAGUGCCGCAAUAUUGACACCCUUCCAAUCAGGGCAUAAAUUGGACCCCAAUUCAGCUAUAAUGCAUCAUUUGGGGCAUGUCGGUUAGAUAACUACUUUCCACAGUUUCAGUAUCAAUAUUAGUAAAAAAACUCAGAUCGUUCUUCAGGUUCAGGACUGUCAGAUACAGUCAACUCGGAACAGUACGAAGCUCAGCUAGUUCCAUUAGAUUUAGGACUGUCAGAUGCAGUCACUCAUGUUAUCAGUUAUAUCAGCUAUCAGAACUCAGUCAUUAGUCAUGUUAGUUAUCAGUAAAUUCAUGUUAUUAUGAUCUCAGUUAUAGUUACUAUGUAUUUAUGCAUGCAUUCUCAUGUUCAUAUUAGUCAGUUAGUCAGUAUUAUUUAUGCAUAUAAACCCCAUGCAUUUAGACUGCCUCACAUGCAUACCAGUACAUUUAAAGUACUAAUGCAUUUGCGCUAUGGUGUCUUAUACCAUAGGUUCAAAGACACGAGCUCCAGAGCAUCAGUAGAUUCCAGUCUCAACAGUCAAAGUUAGCAGUUAGUCCUCAUCUUUCGAGGACAUGAUCAUUACUUUAUUACCUUAUUAAUUUAUUUAUUAGUUGGAGUUAGUUGGGUACAUGUCCCAUCAACUCCUUAUUCAGACAGUUCAGUCAUGAUUUAGAGGCUUUUUAGACUACAGUAUGUUUCAAACAGUUUAUUUUAGUUGUUUUGGGUAUUUCAUACCCCACCCGGAUAUUAUAUUUUUAUCAGAUAUUAUAUCUCAGUGUUGAACCUUAUGGCCUUUCAGUUCAUGUUUCCACAUUAUACAGUAUAUUAUGCAGUAUACAGGUACAAGAUAUCAGUCAUGGGUUAGUUUGUGGUUCUUCGGGGUCAUGAGCUCCAUGUAGCAUUCCGGGUACCAAAUUUGAGGCGUUACAAACUCACACUUUUUCUUUAUUUCUCACUUUGAUACAAUGUCUCACCAACCAUAUGUUUCUCUCCUCUCUUUUUGAAUAAACAUUAAACCUCAAGAGAAUAGAUAUUUGAAUAAAGUAGCACAAAGAACUAGCAAAGGUUGGGAUAAAAGUAUAUCUCUGCAUUUAUCUUCCUUCGCUUAAAUAGUAGUAAUUGAACUACUACUAGAUGUUGGGAGAUUUAAAAUAAAAGGCAACCCAAGAUAUUUUAUCCUUGGAAAUUGGAUAAAAAAUAUCCUCUUUGCAAGAAUAAUGUUGGACCAUUAAUGAUCUCUAUUUAAGAGGUAGAAGCCCAUGCUAAUUUAGACCUAAACUAAAUAUUAAGCCAAUUUGAUUUAGCCUUGUUUCCUUUGAUAAAAUAUGGCGCAUUAAAUGUUGAAGAUAGAGUUAUAGUCCUUUUCCUUCUAUAUUCUUCUGAUAGAUCUUUUCCUUAUUUAAAGGCUUUGAGAUGCCUUCUUCCUUUUUCGUGGCUUUGAGAUGCCUUCUUUCUGGUUUGCCCAUUUCUUACUUCUCUUGCAAGUUUUCAGACAUUGAAAUUAGACACUAUGACACUUAUUAUUAUAGACUAUUCUAGUAGGAUCAAAAUGACAGAAAGUUCCAUAACUAGACAAAUAAAUUAUUGGGCACAUUGAACGUUCUUAUAUAUGUGUUGAUAAAAUGUUGAAAGUCAAUGAACAAUCAUGAAUUACAAUUAUUUAAGAAACACACAAAAACUAAAGCAUUAUCACUAAUAAUUUAAAGUUUAUUGGUUUGAGAUUCUAAUUUUUUAAAGCAAUUGGGUCCUUAAUUAAUUAUAGGUACAAAUUUAAUAUGAUUAUUUUACUAUAUAUGUAAUGCAAGAUUAGGAUUAAAGUUAUUGAGUUGAUUAAACCCGUAACUGAAGUGCUAGUUCCGCCUCUAACAAAAAUGAGUUGCAUUUAAUACAAAAACUCAUCCAUUGAUUUAAAGUAUGGGAAGAAAUUACAAAAAAUAUAUUACUCCCUCCGAUCCAAAAUAAAUAAAUAUUUGGAGUGUGACACACGUCUUAAAAAAGUUAGUUAAUGACACUACUCAAAGUAUGAUUUAUCAAUAUUAUCUUUUUGCUUCUUCCUAAGCUUUUUUGAAAACUAGAGAUAGUUGAAAAACCCAUUAAAUGAAUGGUAAUUUUUUUAAAAAUCUAUCAACAUAUCAUUGAACUUUGAAAAAAUCAUUCAUUUUCACCAUAGAAAAGUGUCAAAAAUUCAUUUACUUUGGACUAGUGGGAGUACAUUUUAAAGAAUUUUCAAAGAUAGUUAUAGUUUUAACUAAACAAUAUAAAUCCCAAUAGUUUGGAGCUUAAUUACAUAAAAUCUCGAUAUUUUGCAUAAUUACUUAAAUUCUCAAUUUGGAUCUGUGAAGAUACAUAAUUAGCUCCCGAUACUUACAACAAAAAUAUAUUUUUUCCUUUGUGAAGAUAUAUAAUUAGCUCCAAAAAUAUUUUUUUGAUUUUGGGCUUGUCAAGAUACAUAAUACAUCCAAUUAAGAUACAUUUUUCCUUUGUAAAGAUACAUAAUUAGCUUCUGAUAUAUUUUUUCUGAAUUUAGGUCUUUUGUGAUACAUAAUUAGCUCAUGAUACAUCCAACAAAGAUACUAAAUUAGUUGGAAUUCUUGUAAUUGCUUUGGAAAGGUGAAAAUUUGUGUAAAUAUAGUAAGUUAAUUUUUAUGUUAUUUUUUUAUUUAAUUAUACUUAUGAAUGCUAGCUACAUUUACCUAAUUACAAUUCAUAGCAAUAACUUGAGAGAUGAGAGAGGCAGGCGAGUUUGAGAGAGAGAAAAAGGGAAAGGUAAGUAAGAGUUUGAAGAGAGAGGAACAAUUUUAGAUAUGUGUUGUAUUUUAUGGAUGCAAUCUGUUUCAAGGUAUACAGUCUAAUACAAGAUGUAUUUGAUGAAUAAAUAUUUUAUCAAUAUAAAGGUUGUAUCUAUAUGUAUCAAUAUACAGGUCGUAUCUCAGAUAUGUAAUAUUACAUAUUGAGGUUGUAUCAAUACAUAUGGAGAGUGUAGCAAUAUUAGAGGUUGUAUUUCACAUAUGUAUCGCUAUGAGGUGUACCAAUAUGGAGGUUGUAUCUCAUAUGUAUCAGUAUGUUUCAAUAAAGGUUGUAUCUCAAAUAUGUAUCAACACAAGUUAUAUCAAUAUGUAUUAACACAUACAAACACAAUAUCGAUAUUAAAUAUGUAUCAAUACAUAUAGAGACAUAUCAAUCUCAAAUAUGUACUCAAUACAAAUUGUAUGAAUAUGGAGCCAGUAUAAAUAUGAAUAAAUAUAGUUGUUAUAUCUCAUACAUGUAUCAAUACAUAUGAAGGUUGUAUUCAGUGGUGUACCUAGAAUUUAGGGGUUGUGGAUGCUUUAAAAAGGUUCAAACACAUAUUGACACCAAAAACUUUAAUGUUCUGGGCCAGAAAAUCAAAGUACCCAACUAUCUUAUUAGUUUUCUGGGUACUUUUUUAACUCUAUACCAAUUUUUAUAUAUUCUUCAUAUAAUUAUAUCUAAUUUGCAAAGGAUUUAAUAGGUGACAUAGCACCACAAUGGUGAACCUAGGUCCGUUCCUGUUUGUAUCUCAGAUAUAUAUAUAUAUAUAUAUAUAUAUAUAUGGAAGUUGUAUCUCAUAUAUGUAUCAAUACAUGUUGUAUCAAUAAAGAUGUUGGAUUUAAUAUACGUAUGUGAAGGUUUACAUAUCACAUUAAUCUAAACUAAUUAGGUAAUAUGCAUAAAUCAUAAAGGAGAACUUACUUGUUCUAUAUGUGCAGAAGAGAGAGGUGAAGAAAUCAACAUGGGAUAGUGUGACCACAAGAGCAAAGUUGGGGGCAAAAAAGCAUGAACCUAAGGUUUGUCAAGCCGGUCAUUAUUGAAUGUGAAAGAUUUUUCCAGAUCCAAAGUGAGGAAAUCAUUAAGGAAACUGCAAACUGGCAGCAAGCGGUGAUCAUGUCCAAAUUUGAGCCUAAAUUGACCUAUUUUCUUAUUUUAACCUUUUCAUCAUUCUGUUUAAUUACUAUGAACCUAUUUUAGCCUUGAUCCCCUCCUUGGACAAUGUGUACCUAAACUCAGGCAAAUCGUCUAAGUUAAGGGUGGCUAUCAUAGGGGUGCGUAGUUCAAAAUGGGUAUGAGAAGGGUGUUGAAUAAAAAAAAAAGUAGAAUUAGGUGUGGUAGAAAAGUAUGAAAAAAGUGAAUAAAUGCAAAGAAUGAAGGAAACCCCACCUAAUUCGAAUCAACAAUGAAAGAGAAAAGGGGAGAAUAAAAGAAGCAUGAUUAAGUAGCGGAGCCAAUAAUGUAAGUUUAGUGUCAAUGAGUGUAAGUCACUGUAUCCCAUAAAUAUCCUACCUUCCCCCAAGCCUACAUUAAAAUCCUAGAGAAGUCCUAUAGUGAUCCUAGUUCAACUAUUCGAAAAACUAAGGUAUAGAAAAUAAGAAAAAAACUAUGGUCUUUUAUGCAUAUUGUUUUAUCUUCUUUAGAGCGUGAGUGUUUUGAUGUAGUCCCUGCAUGGACAUGCAUUAUGAUAUUGUGAAAGUUGGGACUUCCUUGUUGUGAGGGUACGUGGAUUGUGUUGUUAACUACUUAUUUGUUCAGGUAGUGUCAACUGCAUAUAUGCUUAGUUGUUUGUUGCUAAUCUAAUGUCGUCACUCAAUUCCUAUAGUGCCAUAUUGUUGUGCUACAUGGAUCCACAUAGCAGUUUUGAAAGUUUUGACUAGGAAGGGGAAAGUAAUUUGAGCUAAAAUGAGUUGACUGCCUUAGGUGUCUUAAGUUUCUUUUAGUUAAGCAUCGUAUUAUCUUUUAUCUGUUAGUGUCCUGGGGACAUGCAAACGUUCUAAAUUGAGGGUGUUGAUGUGCCAUGUUUUCUAGCACUUUUAAGGCUUAAGACAAGGAAAUGGUGCAAGUACUUGGAUAUUUUUGUUAGAUGUGCUUUUGUGUUGAUUUUGUAGGUAAAUAGAGUUCAGAGCCAAGAAUGAGAGAAAAAGAGAAAAGUGGCUGGGAAGGCUACCUUUAAACCAACCUACGACUUGUGCAUAAUACCUAUGAGCCUGUAAGUGGCCACGUAGGUAGAUGUUCUGAAGAUUCUAAAAGUUGUUGAAGUAUUUUGAUUCCUACGCCCCUACCUACGAGGCGUAGGUACUAUAGGUUUCCUCAUAGGUAGAUGUUCUAUAGUCUUAAGAUUUCUAUGAUUUCCAUGAGCCUACUUACACUCCGCAGGUACAACCUACGACCCGUAGGUUGUCUCGUGGGUUGGUGCCACCAUUUCACCUCAAAAAAUUUUCAGUUUUGAAUUUGACAAAUAAUGUGGUAGACUGAUAAAUUUUGUCCAAAAUUUAUUUUAAAAUUUUUAUUAAUUAAUUUUGUGAUUUUUAAUUCGACUUAUUUUGAACAGGUGUUCCUUCCAAAUAAAACUAAACCUGUUCAAAAUAAGUGUUUUCUCCGAACCGGCACCAUAUAUGUUCUGAAAAAAUGUUUUCUCAUCAUUUCAAUUCAAAUGUUUCUUCCCAUCACAUUCUAAGAGCUUCUUUAAUUCAGAUUCUGUAUUCUUUCUUUUUAUUGGUCUAGUUUUCCAGCUUAUUUUUCAAUUCCUGAUUUAGCCAAUGAAAAAUCCAAUGUAAAACAUCUUAUCACUUUCUCUCUCUCUAAGAAAGGUUUUCUCUCCAACUUCUCUCUAGAACUCCUAUCUUCAACAUACCAAAACCACGGAUAAAACUAUGAACUAUAACCUAGAUAACACCUCAUUCCUCCAAAACCACCAGACCUUGCAUUAAAUACUAUUCCUAAUACCGAGAAAAUCACUCCUUUAACUAGUUUUAAAGCUAAACUUUUAUUCGAUGAACCAAUCAUAGACUCAGACAUGACCAUUAUGAUAUGGAUAAAAUAAUUCAAGCUCAAGAAAAUCUCAAAGAGUCAAAUGUUGGUAUAACUAACAGAAUCAAGAAACUUACUCUUAUGGAGGAUUCAAAAUGCAUUUACACUCCUUGAAAAUUCUCAUUGAGUUUCAAACUCACAGGAAAACAAAUAGUUCAUCACUACAUAAAGAUCAAGAUUCAAGAUCUGUGGGAGUCUUCCAAAAACUUCUCCUUCGUAGAUCUACAAUCUGAUUUCUUUAUCGUUAACUACUCCAAAGAGGAAAAUAUGACAAAUGUGCUGCAGAAAAGGCCUUGGUUCGUUAAUGGCCAUUACUUAUCGGUUAGACGAUGAGAACCAUACUUUUUAGUAGAGAAAGAAAACAAACACAUUCAGUUGGUUUGGGUUCGACUUCCACACCUACCAAUAGAGUUCUAUGAUGGAUUGCUGCUACAACAUAUAGGUGGUGCAAUGGGGGAACUUCUAAAGAUUGAUGCUUAUAUAAGCUCAAGACUAAGGGGACAUUAUGUGAGACUAUAUCUUGAAAUUGCGUCAAAAUAACCUGUACUAUCUCUAUUCAGAUUGGUUCCCGUACUCAAACAUAAUUUACGAAGGAGAAGAAUUUUUAUACAAAAAUUGUAGUCGCUUGAG
Molecule: long non-coding RNA, 22176 nt
Filed under: Capsicum annuum
Lineage: Eukaryota; Viridiplantae; Streptophyta; Magnoliopsida; Solanales; Solanaceae
Description: long non-coding RNA (CANN_LNC002711)
Source: RNAcentral